GUGGGGAAUAUUGGACAAUGGGCGAAAGCCUGAUCCAGCCAUGCCGCGUGUGUGAAGAAGGUCUUCGGAUUGUAAAGCACUUUAAGUUGGGAGGAAGGGCAGUAAGUUAAUACCUUGCUGUUUUGACGUUACCGACAGAAUAAGCACCGGCUAACUUCGUGCCAGCAGCCGCGGUAAUACGAAGGGUGCAAGCGUUAAUCUGAAUUACUGGGCGUAAAGCGCGCGUAGGUGGUUUUGUAAGUUGGAGGUGAAAUCCCCGGGCUCAACCUGGGAACUGCCUCCAAAACUGCAUGACUAGAGUACGGUAGAGGGUAGUGGAAUUUCCUGUGUAGCGGUGAAAUGCGUAGAUAUAGGAAGGAACACCAGUGGCGAAGGCGACUACCUGGACUGAUACUGACACUGAGGUGCGAAAGCGUGGGGAGCAAACAGGAUUAGAAACCCGUGUAGUCC
This 450-nucleotide ribosomal RNA is filed under the name uncultured bacterium. Its description in RNAcentral is "partial 16S ribosomal RNA". It matches the Rfam family "Bacterial small subunit ribosomal RNA", at positions 354 to 796 of the family's 1533-position model. The record is from RNAcentral.